UUGACGUUAGCGGCGGACGGGUGAGUAACACGUGGGUAACCUACCUAUAAGACUGGGACAACUUCGGGAAACCGGAGCUAAUACCGGAUAAUAUGUUGAACCGCAUGGUUCAAUAGUGAAAGAUGGUUUUGCUAUCACUUAUAGAUGGACCCGCGCCGUAUUAGCUAGUUGGUGAGGUAACGGCUCACCAAGGCAACGAUACGUAGCCGACCUGAGAGGGUGAUCAGCCACACUGGAACUGAGACACGGUCCAGACUCCUACGGGAGGCAGCAGUAGGGAAUCUUCCGCAAUGGGCGAAAGCCUGACGGAGCAACGCCGCGUGAGUGAUGAAGGUCUUAGGAUCGUAAAACUCUGUUAUUAGGGAAGAACAAACGUGUAAGUAACUGUGCACGUCUUGACGGUACCUAAUCGGAAAGCCACGGCUAACUACGUGCCAGCAGCCGCGGUAAUACGUAGGUGGCAAGCGUUAUCCGGAAUUAUUGGGCGUAAAGCGCGCGUAGGCGGUUUUUUAAGUCUGAUGUGAAAGCCCACGGCUCAACCGUGGAGGGUCAUUGGAAACUGGAAAACUUGAGUGCAGAAGAGGAAAGUGGAAUUCCAUGUGUAGCGGUGAAAUGCGCAGAGAUAUGGAGGAACACCAGUGGCGAAGGCGACUUUCUGGUCUGUAACUGACGCUGAUGUGCGAAAGCGUGGGGAUCAAACAGGAUUAGAUACCCUGGUAGUCCACGCCGUAAACGAUGAGUGCUAAGUGUUAGGGGGUUUCCGCCCCUUAGUGCUGCAGCUACGCA
This 786-nucleotide ribosomal RNA is filed under the name uncultured Staphylococcus sp. RNAcentral's name for it is "bacterial SSU rRNA". It matches the Rfam family "Bacterial small subunit ribosomal RNA", at positions 86 to 859 of the family's 1533-position model. The record is from RNAcentral. Lineage: Bacteria; Bacillati; Bacillota; Bacilli; Caryophanales; Staphylococcaceae.